This 688-nucleotide ribosomal RNA is filed under the name Orthotomicus caelatus. Its description in RNAcentral is "eukaryotic LSU rRNA". It matches the Rfam family "Eukaryotic large subunit ribosomal RNA", at positions 409 to 844 of the family's 3401-position model. Lineage: Eukaryota; Metazoa; Arthropoda; Insecta; Coleoptera; Curculionidae. The record is from RNAcentral.
UKAAGGGUGAACCUGAGAAACCCGAAARGUCGAARGAAGWAAUUCAUUCGCGGUUCGACGCGGACGUCGCGAGGUCGCGCGACGCGAGACUUCCGCGACUGUUUACAGGUCGAGCGCGCCUUCUUUGCGUCGAAUCCGCGACGAGCGCGUGCACUUUUCUUCUGGUAGGACGUCGCGAUCCGUUGGGCGUCAGUCUACGGCGCGCGGUGGAGCCCGCGCGGUGGCUUCGCGCCACCGUCGGACCCGCGCGUUUUCCGGCUGACACGCUCGACGGUAUACGAAAGGUCAGGGGCCGCUCGCUUUACGGAGCGUUCGACUCUCGGCAAGCGCGCCAGACGCGUCGGCGAUCGGACCUCGUGCCGAUUCCGGCCUCUGGCGACUGUUGGCCGUUGAAGUUCUCGAACAGACCCCGCGACCGAUCGGCGACGCUAUAGCUUUGGGUACUUUCAGGACCCGUCUUGAAACACGGACCAAGGAGUCUAGCAUGUGCGCGAGUCAUUGGGAAUCACUAAACCUAAAGGCGAAAUGAAAGUAAAGGUCUUCCUAGCGGAGACCGAGGGAAGAUGGGCGGUUCGCCGUUAAAAGCGGCCGUUCGGCAUUCCCGGGGCGUCUCGUUCUCAUCGCGAGAAGAGGCGCACCAAGAGCGUACACGCUGGGACCCGAAAGAUGGUGAACUAUGCCUGGUCAG